RNAcentral lists this ribosomal RNA (256 nucleotides) under uncultured Pseudomonas sp. Its description in RNAcentral is "partial 16S ribosomal RNA". It matches the Rfam family "Bacterial small subunit ribosomal RNA", at positions 1126 to 1382 of the family's 1533-position model. The record is from RNAcentral. Lineage: Bacteria; Pseudomonadati; Pseudomonadota; Gammaproteobacteria; Pseudomonadales; Pseudomonadaceae.
UUAUGGUGGGCACUCUAAGGAGACUGCCGGUGACAAACCGGAGGAAGUGGGGAUGACGUCAAGUCAUCAUGGCCCUUACGGCCUGGGCUACACACGUGCUACAAUGGUCGGUACAAAGGGUUGCCAAGCCGCGAGGUGGAGCUAAUCCCAUAAAACCGAUCGUAGUCCGGAUCGCAGUCUGCAACUCGACUGCGUGAAGUCGGAAUCGCUAGUAAUCGUGAAUCAGAAUGUCACGGUGAAUACGUUCCCGGGCCUU